GGGGAAUAUUGCACAAUGGGCGAAAGCCUGAUGCAGCGACGCCGCGUGAGUGAAGAAGUAUUUCGGUAUGUAAAGCUCUAUCAGCAAGGAAGAUAAUGACGGUACUUGACUAAGAAGCCCCGGCUAACUACGUGCCAGCAGCCGCGGUAAUACGUAGGGGGCAAGCGUUAUCCGGAUUUACUGGGUGUAAAGGGAGUGUAGGUGGCAUGGCAAGUCAGAAGUGAAAGCCCGGGGCUCAACCCCGGGACUGCUUUUGAAACUGCCGCGCUAGAGUGCAGGAGAGGUAAGUGGAAUUCCUAGUGUAGCGGUGAAAUGCGUAGAUAUUAGGAGGAACACCAGUGGCGAAGGCGGCUUACUGGACUGUAACUGACACUGAGGCUCGAAAGCGUGGGGAGCAAAC
Molecule: ribosomal RNA, 400 nt
Filed under: uncultured bacterium
Lineage: Bacteria
Description: bacterial SSU rRNA
Rfam family: Bacterial small subunit ribosomal RNA
Source: RNAcentral